CACGGGGGGAGCAAGCGUUGUUCGGAUUCAUUGGGCGUAAAGGGCUCGUAGGUGGCUUUGUAAGUCGGAGGUGAAAUCCCACGGCUCAACCGUGGACACGCCUUCGAAACUGUGAAGCUUGAGGCUGGGAGAGGAAAUCGGAAUUCCUGGUGUAGCGGUGAAAUGCGUAGAUAUCAGGAGGAACACCGGUGGCGAAGGCGGAUUUCUGGACCAGUUCUGACACUGAUGAGCGAAAGCUAGGGGAGCAAACAGG
This 253-nucleotide ribosomal RNA is filed under the name uncultured bacterium. Its description in RNAcentral is "partial 16S ribosomal RNA". It matches the Rfam family "Bacterial small subunit ribosomal RNA", at positions 524 to 776 of the family's 1533-position model. The record is from RNAcentral.